GAUUAACGCUGGCGGCGUGCCUAACACAUGCAAGUCGAGCGGCAGCGAGUUUUACACUGAAUUCUGGAAGCUUCUAGUUGAAAGAGAAGAUUUAUUCAAGAAUUUUGUGUAAAAUGUCGGCGAGCGGCGGACGGCUGAGUAACGCGUGGGAACGUACCCCAAAGUGAGGGAUAACGCAUCGAAAGGUGUGCUAAUACCGCAUAUGGUCUUCGGAUUAAAGCCUUCGGGCGCUUUGGGAACGGCCUGCGUAAGAUUAGAUAGUUGGUGGGGUAAUGGCCUACCAAGUCGACGAUCUUUAACUGGUUUGAGAGGAUGAUCAGUCAGACUGGAACUGAGACACGGUCCAGACUCCUACGGGAGGCAGCAGUGAGGAAUCUUCCACAAUGGGCGAAAGCCUGAUGGAGCAACGCCGCGUGCAGGAUGAAGGCCUUCGGGUUGUAAACUGCUUUUAUAAGUGAGGAUUAUGACAGUAAGUUAUGAAUAAGGAUCGGCUAACUACGUG
This 502-nucleotide ribosomal RNA is filed under the name uncultured bacterium. RNAcentral's name for it is "partial 16S ribosomal RNA". It matches the Rfam family "Bacterial small subunit ribosomal RNA", at positions 28 to 507 of the family's 1533-position model. The record is from RNAcentral.